CUUCUCCCCACGAGGAAUCGUCGCUCAGGGAUCUUCGGAGGAUACUUCACCUUUUUGCUGUCGUGGGCUAGUCGUAGUGUCAUUGUAUUAUUGCAUGCGUUCCAGGUUUAUUUUUUUAAAUUACAGUUCGUUCUUAUUUCUGUUUACAGUACAUAGAAGAUGAGCGCCACCUGUGGGACUUCGACUGCACUCCAUAAGGACAAAGAAGAUGAUGAGCGCCACCGGUGGGACUUCGACUGCACUCCUUAAGGUAUGUAAUCUUUUUCUUUUUGGAAGUGGAGUUUAAGAAAU
This is a long non-coding RNA of Lingula anatina, 291 nucleotides long. The record is from RefSeq and is a predicted model, not a curated record. NCBI's taxonomy places the organism in Eukaryota, Metazoa, Brachiopoda, Lingulata, Lingulida, Lingulidae.